Molecule: ribosomal RNA, 567 nt
Filed under: uncultured bacterium
Lineage: Bacteria
Description: partial 16S ribosomal RNA
Rfam family: Bacterial small subunit ribosomal RNA
Source: RNAcentral
UGGGGAAUUUUGGACAAUGGGGGAAACCCUGAUCCAGCCAUCCCGCGUGUGCGAUGAAGGCCUUCGGGUUGUAAAGCACUUUUGGCAGGAAAGAAACGUCGCGGGUUAAUACCCCGCGAAACUGACGGUACCUGCAGAAUAAGCACCGGCUAACUACGUGCCAGCAGCCGCGGUAAUACGUAGGGUGCAAGCGUUAAUCGGAAUUACUGGGCGUAAAGCGUGCGCAGGCGGUUCGGAAAGAAAGAUGUGAAAUCCCAGAGCUUAACUUUGGAACUGCAUUUUUAACUACCGGGCUAGAGUGUGUCAGAGGGAGGUGGAAUUCCGCGUGUAGCAGUGAAAUGCGUAGAUAUGCGGAGGAACACCGAUGGCGAAGGCGAGCCUCCUGGGAUAACACUGACGCUCAUGCACGAAAGCGUGGGGAGCAAACAGGAUUAGAUACCCUGGUAGUCCACGCCCUAAACGAUGUCAACUAGCUGUUGGGGCCUUCGGGCCUUGGUAGCGCAGCUAACGCGUGAAGUUGACCGCCUGGGGAGUACGGUCGCAAGAUUAAAACUUAAAUGAAUUGAC